This 472-nucleotide ribosomal RNA is filed under the name uncultured bacterium. RNAcentral describes it as "bacterial SSU rRNA". It matches the Rfam family "Bacterial small subunit ribosomal RNA", at positions 355 to 825 of the family's 1533-position model. The record is from RNAcentral.
UGGGGAAUAUUGGACAAUGGGCGAAAGCCUGAUCCAGCCAUGCCGCGUGUGUGAAGAAGGUCUUCGGAUUGUAAAGCACUUUAAGUUGGGAGGAAGGGCAGUUACCUAAUACGUGAUUGUUUUGACGUUACCGACAGAAUAAGCACCGGCUAACUCUGUGCCAGCAGCCGCGGUAAUACAGAGGGUGCAAGCGUUAAUCGGAAUUACUGGGCGUAAAGCGCGCGUAGGUGGUUAGUUAAGUUGGAUGUGAAAUCCCCGGGCCCAACCUGGGAACUGCAUUCAAAACUGACUGACUAGAGUAUGGUAGAGGGUGGUGGAAUUUCCUGUGUAGCGGUGAAAUGCGUAGAUAUAGGAAGGAACACCAGUGGCGAAGGCGACCACCUGGACUGAUACUGACACUGAGGUGCGAAAGCGUGGGGAGCAAACAGGAUUAGAUACCCAUGUAGUCCCUGAGCGGGCUGGCAAGGCGCAU